CCUACGGGCGGCAGCAGUCGAGAAUCAUUCACAAUGGGGGAAACCCUGAUGGUGCGACGCCGCGUGGGGGAAUGAAGGUCUUCGGAUUGUAAACCCCUGUCAUGUGGGAGCGAAUUAAAAAGAUAGUACCACAAGAGGAAGAGACGGCUAACUCUGUGCCAGCAGCCGCGGUAAUACAGAGGUCUCAAGCGUUGUUCGGAAUCACUGGGCGGAAAGCGUGCGUAGGCUGUUUCGUAAGUCGUGUGUGAAAGGCGCGGGCUCAACCCGCGGACGGCACAUGAUAUUGCGAGACUAGAGUAAUGGAGGGGGAGCCGGAAUUCUCGGUGUAGCAGUGAAAUGCGUAGAUAUCGAGAGGAACACUCGUGGCGAAGGCGGGUUCCUGGACAUUAACUGACGCUGAGGCACGAAGGCCAGGGGAGCGAAAGGGAUUAGAUACCCCUGUAGUC
RNAcentral lists this ribosomal RNA (446 nucleotides) under uncultured bacterium. RNAcentral's name for it is "partial 16S ribosomal RNA". It matches the Rfam family "Bacterial small subunit ribosomal RNA", at positions 338 to 795 of the family's 1533-position model. The record is from RNAcentral.